Molecule: long non-coding RNA, 145 nt
Organism: Panicum virgatum (switchgrass)
Lineage: Eukaryota; Viridiplantae; Streptophyta; Magnoliopsida; Poales; Poaceae
Exons: 2
Source: RefSeq, a predicted model, not a curated record
GGCUUAGGAGAGCAACUCCUAUUGACAUCAAAGAGAAUAUGGAGAAAUUAGAAAUGAUGGAAAAAGAGUUAAUAGAAGAAUUUGGUAACCAUAAAGCCCAGAAUAUUGGCAAAGGAAAAGGGAAAGAAAAAGAGGCUUCCACUGC